This 69-nucleotide transfer RNA is filed under the name Ictidomys tridecemlineatus (thirteen-lined ground squirrel). RNAcentral's name for it is "Spermophilus tridecemlineatus (thirteen-lined ground squirrel) tRNA". It matches the Rfam family "tRNA". Rfam says of the family: Transfer RNA (tRNA) molecules are approximately 80 nucleotides in length. Their secondary structure includes four short double-helical elements and three loops (D, anti-codon, and T loops). Lineage: Eukaryota; Metazoa; Chordata; Mammalia; Rodentia; Sciuridae. The record is from Rfam by way of RNAcentral.
GGGUCUGUAGCUCAGUGGCAGAGUGCUUGCCUAGCAUGCAUGAGGCACUGGGUUCCAUCCUCAGCACCA